This 2162-nucleotide long non-coding RNA is filed under the name Paramuricea clavata. Lineage: Eukaryota; Metazoa; Cnidaria; Anthozoa; Malacalcyonacea; Plexauridae. The record is from RNAcentral.
CUGUAAAAAGAAAACAAUGCUAGCACAAAAUAAAUAAUAAGACCAGAAGUCUCACUCGAUGUCGGAAUCUUUGAUGUUGAUGUCCCCGCGCAUGUCGCCUCGCGCAUCUUGGCCGUGUCUCGUUUCCAGUGCCCUAAACAAGUGUAAUUUGACAAAUUUACAUGUAAACAUUAAGGAGUGAGGAAGUUAAAACGAUACCAAUCGAGUUUUAGAGCUUUGGUGACCAUUUUAAAAGAAUAUAUCAUAAAUUCAAAGGUAAGUCUAUCGUACUGCAUUGUCUUAAAUGAAUUCUCAGCUGAAAUACGGCAAUAAAUGGAUCAUAAACGUAGCUAAAUUUACUGUUGACAACGAGGUUGACAGAUCCAUUGCUUUUUUGCCUUGAAUAGCUUUACCAUAGUCAUUUUACCUUAAAAUGUAGCUACUGAGGAUAUCUCUAAGAGAUUUACACAGAUUAUUUGCACAAUCUCACGAUUUAAUCAUGCUGAUAACAUGAAAAUCCUUGUGCCAUUCUAUACUUGGCAUAUAAAUCUCUACAUCAAUAGUUCACCAGUUCACUAAUAUAAAUUCAAUAUAUUUUUGAACCAGUCCAUAUAUUAUUAUACACAAUGUAGUAUAGUUAAUUUGACCAUAUUUGAGAAGUAAGGGUGUAUUUCAUUACACAGACACUGCUGAAUUUUAGGUUACAUGCCAUUGGAUUGAUAUAUAAAAAAACACUUGUAAAACACACACAUUAUUUUUAUCUUGUUGAUAGAAUAGUUAUUUGCAGUAUACUAACUGUUGGCAUACUCUAUUUCAGGACUAUCAAUUGUUUUUGUCACUGACAGUCUUUGAAAUACAAUCUUGCUCUGUGGCCUUUACUGACAAGUUGGCUUUUACUACAUAUGUGGCACUGACACUUCUUUAAUUAAUGCACCAGUCAACGUAAACCCCCGAACUGGGGAAGGGCAGGGAUUUUGACUUGGAGGGGUAGUAAAAGAGCGAAAUUGGCCCCGCCCCCAGGGACAUCAAUGUCCCCUGCAUGUCUCUCAACCCCAGGAAAAUAGUUUUGUAUAAUCAUAGAUCAGCAAUAGAAAAUCAAAUUCAUUUAUGUUAUUGUAUUUAAACUUUUCUUGUCAAGAAAACUAAAACAGCAACACAGGAUAUAUAUGUUAACCACUGUCCAAGUCUCCCAUCAUCGGGGACAAAUUUAUAAUCAAAACUGACCACUUUCCCCGAUAAACCUUCCGCCCUCCCCGGUUGGGGGCAGGGAUUUACAUUGACUGGUGCAUAACUAGAUGAUUGCAUAAAGCAUUGCAUGGAAGUUGAUUUAUAAUUAGUUUAUGAAUAAACUCACACUUUCAUUAUAAUGGUUGAUCGAAUAUAUCAAAUCAUUUGAUUGGUUGAUGGUCCCUUACUGUCGUUCCAAUUGAAGUGUUCCUCAAAUAUUGAUUCAAUACAUUACCUCGGGCUGACCAAUUCAUUUCAUCAAGUUCCUCGAGAUAUUCAUACACUUCCUGUGAAAGAGCCAAUUCCAAUGUCAAAAAUUUUUUUCGGAAAUAACUUUUUUUAAACAAAAUAUUGCAAAUUUGUCCCCUUAUACCUAAAUUUUCAAAAAAUAACCUAAAUUUUUCCCUAAUUAUCAAAAUUUUUUCCAAAAAUUCAAAUUUUCUGGGGGGGCUUUAGCCCCCCUAGCCCCCCUGUUCCGCCGCCCCUGUUCCUUUCUAUUUAUGAUUGGUUAGUUGCACAAACAACAAAGGUGAUUGGUGCAUUCAAACUAUUCAACAGGAAGUUUACAAUUAUACUAGGAAGUGUAUGAAUAUUUCGAGGAACUUGAUGAAAUGAAUUGGUCAGCCCGAGGUAAUGUAUUGAAUCAAUAUUUGAGGAACACUUCAAUUGGAACGACAGUAAUGGUAAUGGUAGUCAAAUCUGAACCUAUAUAAUGUCAAUAUACUGGAAAAGUAUCAAAUUAAAUUUUAAUUGUCAAUGUUGUGGAAAGUAAAUAAAUCAAACAAUUCUGUUUGUUUCAACUAACUAGUUCACUAUCACUUUGGUUUUCAAAUCAAAGAAUCUUUAGCCUGGUUGAGCUUUUGAAAAAGUAGCUGCUUGAUUGAAUGCAAGAUUAUUUUACUCCGUCUAACGCCAGACAAUUUCACUCGUCAAGGGGAAAAGUGCUGCCACUCAGU